UGUGAGAGCAAGAGCCCGGAGAUGGAACCUGAGACAAGGUUCCAGGCCCUACGGGGUGCAGCAGGCGCGAAACCUCCGCAAUGUGAGAAAUCGCGACGGGGGGAUCCCAAGUGCCAUUCUUAACGGGAUGGCUUUUCAUUAGUGUAAAGAGCUUUUGGAAUAAGGGCUGGGCAAGACCGGUGCCAGCCGCCGCGGUAACACCGGCAGCUCUAGUGGUAGCAGUUUUUAUUGGGCCUAAAGCGUCCGUAGCCGGUUUAAUAAGUCUCUGGUGAAAUCCUGUAGCUUAACUGUGGGAAUUGCUGGAGAUACUAUUAGACUUGAGACCGGGAGAGGUUAGAGGUACUCCCAGGGUAGAGGUGAAAUUCUGUAAUCCUGGGAGGACCGCCUGUUGCGAAGGCGUCUAACUGGAACGGUUCUGACGGUGAGGGACGAAAGUUAGGGGCGCGAACCGGAUUAGAUACCCGGGUAGUCCUAACUGUAAACGAUGCGGACUUGGUGUUGGGGUGGCUUUGAGCUGCUCCAGUGCCGAAGGGAAGCUGUUAAGUCCGCCGCCUGGGAAGUACGGUCGCAAGACUGAAACUUAA
This 584-nucleotide ribosomal RNA is filed under the name uncultured archaeon. RNAcentral's name for it is "bacterial SSU rRNA". It matches the Rfam family "Archaeal small subunit ribosomal RNA", at positions 275 to 859 of the family's 1478-position model. The record is from RNAcentral.